AUGGAUGAGUACGGGCUGAGCUGCCUGGAGGAGGAGCAGCUGCUGUUGGUGGUGACCAGCAGGUUCAGGAAUGGAGACUGCUCUGGCAACAGAGAGAUUCUCUGCAUGGAUGAGUACGGGCUGAGCUGCCUGGAGGAGGAGCAGCUGCUGUUGGUGGUGACCAGCAGGUUCAGGAAUGGAGACUGCUCUGGCAACAGAGAGAAACUGAAGAAAUCCCUCUUCAUGUUAAAACUGUUCACCAACAAAUUCAGGUAUGCCGUGUUUGACUUUGGCUCCAGCAAGUGCCCUCAGUUCUGAGCCUUUACUCCUGACCUCAACCAGAAGCUCCCACCUGGGGGCCUCUCAGCUCAUCCCGAUGGGGGAAGAGGAUGAGCUCAGUGGGCAGGAGGAUGCCUUCUGCAGCUGGGCCGUGCAAACCUUCAAGGCAGCCCAUGAGACGUUUGAUGUCCAAGGCAAACAGCACAUUCAGAUCCCCAAGCUCUACACCUCCAGUGUGACCAGGGACCUGCACCACUUCAGGCUCGUGCAGGACUCACAGCCUUUGGACCUCAGCAAAGCCCUCAGCAGCAUGCACGCCAAGAACAUGUUCACCAUGAGGCUCAAAUCUCGGCGGAAUCUACAGAGUCCGCCAUCCAGCCAUGGUGCCCAGUCCACCUGAGGCUUCUUUUUCCUUCCCCUGGUGGAACUUUCUUAUGGGGAUGGCCAAGGCCUGAACUACGGCUGGGUGAGCACCUUGGGGUUUGCCCAGGCAUCCAGCCGGCCCUGGUCCAAGGCAUCCUGGAGCAUGUGGUGGAAGGCCCUGCACCCCACCAGACAGUGCGCCUGGAGUCCAAGGACGAAAGCGGCAGCUACCAGUUCAGUGACAAGAGGCUGCCCCCCUGCUCGCUCAGCCAGGCCCUCACCUACUUCCUGGAUAUCACCAACCCCCCAACCCAGCUGCUGCUCCAAAAGCUGGCCCAGGUGGCCACAGAAGCGACUGAGAGACAGAGGCUGGAGGCCCUGUGCCAGCCCUCAGAGUACAGCAAGUGGAAGUUCACCAACAGCCCCACGUUCCUGGAGGUGCUGGAGGAGUUCCCGUCCCUGUGGGUGUCUGCUGGCUUCCUGCUCUCCCAGCUCCCCAUUCUGAAGCCCAGGUUCUACUCCAUCAGCUCCUCCCGGGAUCACACGCCCACGGAGAUCCACCUGACUGUGGCCAUGCUCAUGUCCCACACCCGAGGAGAGCCCGGGGCAGAGGCUCUGGAGCAGCCACUCAGCUUCAGCUCCCUCAUCAGCGGCUUCCACCUCCCCGAGGACCCCUCCCAUCCUUGCAUCCUCGUCGGGCCUGGCACAGGCAUCGCCCCCUUCCGCAGUUUCUGGCAGCAGCGGCUCCAUGACUCCCAGCACAAGGGAGUGCGGGGAGGCCGCAUGACCCUGGUGUUCCGGUGCCGCCGCCCAGAUGAGGACCACUCUACCGCGAGGAGAUGCUGGAGAUGGCCCAGAAGGGGUGCUGCAUGCGAUGCACACAGCCUACUCCCGCCUGCCUGGCAAGCCCAAGGUCUAUGUUCAGGACAUCCUGCGGCAGCAGCUGGCCAGCGAGGUGCUCCGUGUGCUCCACGAGGAGCCGGGCCACCUCUAUGUUUGUGGGGAUGUGCGCAUGGCCUGGGAUGUGGCCCACACCCUGAAGCAGCUGGUGGCUGCCAAGCUGAACUUGAGUGAGGAGCAGGUCGAGGACUAUUUCUUUCAGCUCAAGAGCCAGAAGUGCUUUCAUGAAGAUACCUUUGGUGCUGUAUUUACCUACAAAGCCAGAACGGACAAGGCGGCAGUGCAGCCCAGGAGCCUGGAGAUGUCAGCCCUCUGACGGCCCACAGGAGGGGUUAAAGCUGCCGGCACAGAACUUAACCAAGGAGCCAGCUCUGCAUUAUCUGAGGUCACAGGGCCUGGGGAGAUGGAGGAAAGUGGUAUCCCCCAGCCUCACAUCUUAUUUUUUCACUUCGUUCCCCAUCAAGUCCUUUACUUGACCUCCUACCAAGUAGCACCCUGGAUUGAUCGGAGCCCCCUCUCUCAAGCUGGGGCCUCCCUGGUCCUCUGGAGACGAAAUCUUCAAUGACAGGCCUGGCAAGUGGGUGAAAGAUGGAACCCACUGCUGAGUGCACCACUUCAAGUGACCACCAGGAAGUGCUGUUGCGCCGCUGUGUAUUUAACUGCCCUGGGUACAAUUGUUUAUGCCUCUGUUUAAAAAACUAACACCCUAGUCUGUUCCCAAUGGCCACCUGGGCCUUCCCUGUAUGAUUCCUUGAUGGAGAUAUUUAUAUGAUGGAAUUUUA
RNA transcript from Mandrillus leucophaeus (drill), 2303 nucleotides. It is a transcript of the gene named nitric oxide synthase, inducible-like, with no coding region annotated. Lineage: Eukaryota; Metazoa; Chordata; Mammalia; Primates; Cercopithecidae. The transcript has 15 exons. The record is from RefSeq and is a predicted model, not a curated record.